Molecule: ribosomal RNA, 400 nt
Filed under: uncultured bacterium
Lineage: Bacteria
Description: bacterial SSU rRNA
Rfam family: Bacterial small subunit ribosomal RNA
Source: RNAcentral
GGGGAAUAUUGGGCAAUGGGGGCAACCCUGACCCAGCAACGCCGCGUGAAGGAAGAAGGCUUUCGGGUUGUAAACUUCUUUGACCAGGGACGAUAGUGACGGUACCUGGAAAACAAGCCACGGCUAACUACGUGCCAGCAGCCGCGGUAAUACGUAGGUGGCGAGCGUUGUCCGGAAUUACUGGGUGUAAAGGGCGCGUAGGCGGGACUGCAAGUCAGAUGUGAAAUUUUCCGGCUUAACCGGGAACGUGCAUUUGAAACUGUAGUUCUUGAGUGAUGGAGAGGCAAGUGGAAUUCCUAGUGUAGCGGUGAAAUGCGUAGAUAUUAGGAGGAACACCAGUGGCGAAGGCGACUUGCUGGACAUUAACUGACGCUGAAGCGCGAAAGCGUGGGGAGCAAAC